This 410-nucleotide ribosomal RNA is filed under the name uncultured bacterium. Its description in RNAcentral is "bacterial SSU rRNA". It matches the Rfam family "Bacterial small subunit ribosomal RNA", at positions 32 to 452 of the family's 1533-position model. The record is from RNAcentral.
AAUCAACGCUGGCGGCGUGCCUAACACAUGCAAGUCGAACGAGAAAGUGGAGCAAUCCAUGAGUAAAGUGGCGCACGGGUGAGUAACACGUGACUAACCUACCCUUGAGUGGGGGAUAACCUAGGGAAACCUGGGCUAAUACCGCAUAAUACCUACGGGUCAAAGGAGCAAUUCGCUUUAGGAGGGGGUCGCGGCAGAUUAGUUAGUUGGCGGGGUAAUGGCCCACCAAGACGAUGAUCNGUAUCCGGCCUGAGAGGGCGCACGGACACACUGGAACUGAAACACGGUCCAGACUCCUACGGGAGGCAGCAGUGGGGAAUUUUGCGCAAUGGGGGAAACCCUGACGCAGCAACGCCGCGUGGAGGAUGAAGACCCUUGGGCCGUAAACUCCUUUCGAUCGGGACGAUAAU